GAAGUAUGGUCAGAUUUUCUGAUGCUCAGCUUACUGAAAUCGCAUUAGCCCUCGAAGCCUCCAACACUCGGUUCAUUUGGGUAGUUCGCAAGAUUGUUGAAAAUCAAGAAACAUGGUUGCCUUCAGGGUUUGAAGAAAGAAUUUUGAAAAAUAACAAGGGUUUGAUAGUCCGAGACUGGGUUCCACAGGUGAAAAUUCUGGAUCAUCCAUCUACAGGAGGGUUCCUGACUCACUGCGGCUGGAACUCAGUUUUGGAAGCAGUUGUGGCUGGAGUGCCACUUGUGACAUGGCCUUUAUUUGCUGAGCAAUUUUACAAUGAGAAGCUUGUUGAGCUUCUUAAGGUUGGUGUAAGAGUAGGUGCUGAUGUUUGGAACUCAGGAUUUGAAAUCAAGAGUCCUCUUCUGGGAAGAGACAUGAUACAGAAUGCAUUGUCAAGAUUAAUGGAUGGUUCUGAAGAGUCUGCGAUGAUCAGACGGCGAGCAAAGGAGAUUGGAGUCCAGGCUAGAGGGGCAGUCAUGGAGGGAGGGUCAUCAUUUAAUCAAUUAUCGGGUCUAAUUGAAGAGAUUAAUGCUUUUAGUUAGAUUAAGGCAACAAAGAUAACAUAGGAUGCUUAGAGCAUCUCCAAUAGGCUCUUCAAAUAAGCUCUUAAGUCAAAAAUUAAAGAGCAUGGCUCAAAAUCAAGCUCCAACAGACUCUUAUAGGCUCUUUAAAACUCCAAGAACUUCUUCUAUCUCCUUACUUGUAAGAGCGAUUAAUAGUAGCUCUUAACUUAUAUUUAAUUAACAAAAUUUUCAUGUUCACCAAUCAUUGCACAAUCUUUGGUCAUUGUGGAAUUUGUUUAUUAGUAAACUAGAGAGGAAAACACGCCCCGUUCAAUUGAAAAGUUUUUUGUUAUAUAUAUUUAAGAUAUACUUUAUUUAAUGUUUAAAAAUCUAAUAAAGAAAACUUAUCAAAAGGUUGAUAUUUAGAUGACAGAGUAGAACUACACAGCUGAAGAAGGCCAAAAACAAACUCACUUCCUGCUGAACCACAUCAUCACAUAGGUGAAGAAGACUGCCCUUUCCACUAUCAAGCUGUUUGUCAUACAUUGAUUUUGUUAUCAGGUUCUGGUAUGCAGCCAUAUUUGCCUGGAACCUACAGCGAUAAACUGGACAAUUAGACAUUGCAAGAUUAGUACAAGUAACCUGGAUGAAACUAAGAAAUAAUAUGAUUUGGUACUUCUUUAACAAAGCACAUCUUGCAACCAUGUUACAUCUUAAAUCUUUAAGUAGCUCCAUUAUCUUAUUAUAUUGCCGUCCUUUCAAAAAGGCAAUUUAAUUAUGUCAUGUAAUCAUUAGACUUAAGGCUGUAAGGAGUUUAGUUCUUUCUGGACUUAAUGAUUUGAUAAAAACUUGUUUGUGGUCUAUUCAAAAAUCAAACAAACUAUAGUCAAGCUCCAACCUACAAAUGAUCCGGACUUGAACAUGGAGUAGUUUGGUUAUUUGAACUUGUGACCAACCUAAUAGAUGUUAGGGAACAAUAACAAACCUAGAAAGAAUUUAAUAUAUGAAAGCAUACAGUGACCUCUGGCUUGUGAAACUACAUUAAGUAUUCACAAACAUGAUAAUCGAGCUUAUAUUGAGAUGAACUCGAUAAAAUUUGUUAAAAACUAAAAACUGAUCUUCAAGAAUCGGAACUUUAAAACUAUAUAUUUUUGGGAAAAAACAUUUUUCAAUUUCGAAUAAAACUUGAGCCCAGCAAUGUCUUGAUUAAUUGACGUCAAGCUCUGUGAUAUUCAGGCACAACUCAAUUCAUUUUACAAUCCCAACUGCAGUGAAGAAGCUAGAUAUAGACAUAAACUUUGUAUAGACAGCUCGACACUUAACUAGAACCAACCUCAACCAAUUCAAUAUCCUUGCCUGAUUGUGCGGAUGAUUGACACCAGAUACACCUAAACAAACAGCUCGAACAACUGAUUUCUUCGAUCCUGAUUUCCGAAAGGCCUCGCUCAUAACUUGUUCCAAUGUAUCUCUUGCUGCUGUUUCUGCAAGCACAAACAGUUAAACAACUCACAAGUAAAACACUCAAACAUCACAACAUCCCCUUCUUAUUUAACGCAAUCACAAGAACCUAAUAUCGAAAAAUCAACACCCCUAAGCAAGAAAUUACCGCAAUGUGAAUAUUUGAUCAACCCACACGCACACAAACACAAACAUACAAAUACAAGAUAUAUAAUUAAUGGGUUUUCUUGGAAAUACUAAAGGGUACUACCUCCGGCACUAUCGUCAUUAGAGCAGCCAGCAACUGCCUGGGUAAGAACUGGGUCGGCGAGUUGAGUGGAAAAAGGAAAACACAACUAGCAGAGGACAGAUGGAAGCAACCGAUGGAUGAUCGCAUAAUUUCAAUUGAGACAGACAAAUGGGAGAGACGAAGAAAAGAUAGUAGUCGUUGGUUUGAGCUAGACGAGAGAGGUUUACAGGCUCGAAAGGGUAUUACUUUCAGUUUAAUUGGAAUCAAAAUUAUGAGAUGAGAGGUUCACUUUUCAGGUUUGGAGGGGGUUAAUGUCAUUUUAAUUAGAAUUAAUUUGCUCAUAAUAGAUACAGAUUCUCUUUGUCCUUAAUUAAAGUCGGGUUCAAAACUCUUUCGAACACGCCAAUGAGCACAUUGAACUAUCCAUGUGUUGUCCUUGAUUAAAGUCGGAUUCAAAACUCUUUCGAAAAUGUCGAUUUGUGUAAUAAAUUAGAAGUAGACUUAAAGUUAGAAAUAAGCUUAAUUAAAGUCAGAAGUUAAUUUGAGAUACUUUUUUCGAUGAUUUAACUUUUUUUGAAUUUUUUCUGAUAAAAACUACAUUUAAAUCAUGAUUUACUUAUAAAUUAUUUUUAUUAUUUUUAUUAUAUUUUUAAUAACCCGUAAAUCAUUAAUAUAUCAAAAUUACCUGAACAAAUAUUUUAAGUUCCAAACUUAUCACAUAAAUCACUUAAGUCAUAAAUUACGUUUGUGCAGCCAAACAUGUCCAUUGCAGAGCAGAUUUACGUAUGCUACUUGAUAGUUGAUCCAGACUUCCAUUUUAAGUACCUAUUGUCUUGCAUCUCUCCUUACUAAACAACCAGAAACAAGUACAUAGGGACGAUACAUAAGUUCAAUCCCUUGGUUUUGUCACCGAAAUUAAUUAAUCACUGGUCAGGAAUGCCGUCCACAAGAACAACAGAUUCUUACACAUUAACCUAUGCACUAUUUUUUCCAGCAGCUCUUCCCCCUUGUGAAAAUUUAGUUCAUAUUUUUAUUUAGUAGUCACGGACAGUGGCUUGGCUCAUACCUUUUCAUUUGUGCAGUAGAAUCCAAUCCGAAGGCACAACACUCUCGCAUCAAGCAGAGAUCCAUGCGGAAAAAUAUAUGAUCCUGAUAAGCAUUCCUCCCUCGUCACAGUAUUUUAGAUGGAUCAGUUACUUAAUAAUAUACGAGUCGGGCACAGAGCACAGAGUCGACACCAGAGAGUGCUGGUAUGAUUUUCUGUGAGUAAAAAUAUUUUUAUUCAAACGGUAACAUCUGGUGUACCUACCGCAUUAAAAUAUUUAUCAGUAUACUUCACUCACUCUCGUGUUCACCACAAUAAGUUAAGAUUUCCAAGAUCAAUUGUCUCAAAUCUUCCCUCCCCAGGUUAACAUUAUACUAAGAGUCAUACUAAACAACCAAGGUUCUUGAGGCUCUGAUGGAAAUUCCAGAAAAUUUUCAUGUUUUAUUCCUGCCAUACCUCACUCCAAGCCACAUGAUCCCCCUGGUUGACAUGGGGAGGCUCUUUGCAGCCCGUGGUGUCACCGUGACCAUAAUAACCACUCCACACAAUGCUCUCCUGUUUCGGUCCUCCAUUGAACAAGGCCUCGAAUCAGGCCAUCACAUCGCGGUCCACGAGCUCAAUUUCCCUUCAAGAGAAGUUGGUUUGCCUGAAGGAAUAGAGAAUUUCAAUGCCAUAACAUCCAGUGAAAUGUCCAGUAAGGUCUUUUAUGGGAUCAUGCUACUCAGAAAGCCUAUGGAAGAUUUGAUCAGGAAGCUUUCGCCUAAUUGCAUUUUUUCUGAUAUGUUUUAUCCUUGGACAGCUGAUCUUGCUAGUGAGCUCGGGAUACCAAGGCUUAUGUUUUAUCCAUCAAGCUUCUUGUAUCAUUGUGUUACACAUAGUCUUGGUAUUUAUGCGCCUCAUGAUAGUGUUGAGUCCGAAACAGAGAGUUUCUUGGUUCCAAAUCUUCCUGAAAAGAUUGAGAUGAAAAGAUGUCAGCUGCAAGAGCAUGUUAAGAUUAAAACAAGGUAUGGUGAAUUGAUCAAAGCAAUUAAAGAGUCUGAGCAGAAGAGCUAUGGUUUGGUUCAUCACACUUUUUAUGAGCUUGAGCCUGCUUAUGCAGAUCAUUAUGGUGAAAUCAAGAAAAGUAAGUUCUGGCACAUUGGUCCCAUUUUUCAGUUCUUCAAAAAGGCUGAAACUGAAAGAUCUAGUGGCUCUCCAUCUGAGCAACACUUUUGUUUGAGUUGGUUAGAUUCACAAAAGUCUGAAUCUGUUGUCUUCAUAUGUUUUGGAAGUAUGGUCAGAUUCUCUGAUGCUCAGCUUACUGAGAUCGCAUUAGCCCUCGAGGCCUCCAACACUCAGUUCAUUUGGGUAGUCCGCAAAAUGAUUGAAAAUCAAGAAAAUCAAGAAACGUGGUUGCCUUCAGGGUUCGAAGAAAGAAUUUUGAAAAAUAACAAGGGGUUGAUAGUCCGAGACUGGGUUCCCCAGGUGAAAAUCCUGGAUCAUCCAUCGACAGGAGGGUUCCUGACUCACUGCGGCUGGAACUCAGUG
This 4801-nucleotide long non-coding RNA is filed under the name Daucus carota (carrot). RNAcentral describes it as "long non-coding RNA (DCAR_LNC001674)". Lineage: Eukaryota; Viridiplantae; Streptophyta; Magnoliopsida; Apiales; Apiaceae. The record is from RNAcentral.